GUCUCUGCGCGGAAAAUUUAACGGGGCUAAGAUACAAACCGAAGCUUAGGCUGCACUUUUAGUGCGGGGUAGGGGAGCGUUGUGUAAGCGGAGAAACGAUAGCGUAAGCGGUCGUGGAGUUUACAGAAGUGAGAAUGCCGGAAUGAGUAGCGCGAAUGAUGUGAGAAUCAUCAUGGCCGGAAACCUCAGGUUUUUGGAGGAAGGUUCGUCCGCUCCAAGUUAGGCGGGAGCUAAGGUGAGGCCGAAAGGCGUAGCCGAUGCACAGACGGUAGAGAUUCCGUCCCCACCGAAAGAUUUAAGCACAGGGACACUUUUUGAAGGUCGGAGCCAGGUGUUGGUUCUGGUAGUGAUCGAGGGAAAUAUAGUACCGAAGUCCGGCUGGAAGAGAGGCGAGAAAAGCUGUGUGUAUAUCUAAGGUGCCCGUACCGCAAACCGACACAGGUAGGUAGGAAGAAGAUUCUAAGGCCAACGGGAGAAGGGUUGUUAAGGAACUCGGCAAGUUGACCCCGUAACUUCGGAAUAAGGGGUGCUCAUGAAAGUGAGCCGCAGAGAAUAGGCCCAGGCAACUGUUUACCAAAAACACAGGUUUGUGCUAAAUCGAAAGAUGACGUAUACGAGCUGACGCCUGCCCGGUGCUGGAAGGUUAAGAGGAGAUGUGCAAGCAUUGAAUUGAAGCCCCAGUGAACGGCGGCCGUAACUAUAACGGUCCUAAGGUAGCGAAAUUCCUUGUCAGGUAAGUUCUGACCCGCAUGAAAGGCGUAAUGAUUUGGGCACUGUCUCAACAGCCCGCCCGGCGAAAUUGUAGUACCGGUGAAGAUGCCGGUUACCCGCGACAAGACGGAAAGACCCCAUGGAGCUUUACUGUAGCCUGAUAUUGGGUUUCGGUGUUGCAUGCACAGGAUAGAUGGGACACUGGGAAGGCAGUGCUUUGGCAUUGCUGGAGUGGACGUUGGGAUACCAUCCUUGCGACAUUGGAAUUCUAACCUGCGCCUCUGAAUCGAGGCGGGGGACAUUGUCAGGUGGGCAGUUUGACUGGGGCGGUCGCCUCCUAAAAAGUAGCGGAGGCGUUCAAAGGUUCGUUCGAUCUGGACGGAAACCAGAUGAUUGAGUGCAAACGCAUAAACGAGCCUGACUGCGAGACUGACGGGUCGAGCAGAGACGAAAGUCGGAGUUAGUGAUCCGGUGGUAUGUGAGUGG
This 1197-nucleotide ribosomal RNA is filed under the name human gut metagenome. Its description in RNAcentral is "bacterial LSU rRNA". It matches the Rfam family "Bacterial large subunit ribosomal RNA", at positions 1155 to 2436 of the family's 2925-position model. The record is from RNAcentral.